Molecule: long non-coding RNA, 359 nt
Organism: Chinchilla lanigera (long-tailed chinchilla)
Lineage: Eukaryota; Metazoa; Chordata; Mammalia; Rodentia; Chinchillidae
Exons: 2
Source: RefSeq, a predicted model, not a curated record
CAAGUUUCACUUCCGGUUUAACGGCUUUUACUUCCGUUCUGGCUUUAAAGUCAACAUAGCUCAUCCUUUUCUUUCCAACUUGCCCCAAACCCUCGGCCACGCCCAUUUUCCUGCCUUUUCUCCCUGUCUUUCACCCCUAGAGGCCUGGAAGGAAGCCCCACCUUGGACAUCUUUAGCCAUGCCCUCUGAACCAGCAUGGCAUGGUGUGCCUGUGGAAGACAUUCACCAGCACGGAGAGAGACGAAGCCAAGCCCCUUCCUGCACACGGAGCUGUGACCUUCUAAGAACAAAGCAUACUGACAGCAUCAAACAUCACCAAGUUGGCCACAGCAGUUCCAUAAAAUGGUAGUUUAAAAAUA